This 2109-nucleotide ribosomal RNA is filed under the name Triticum aestivum (bread wheat). Its description in RNAcentral is "partial small subunit ribosomal RNA". The record is from RNAcentral. Lineage: Eukaryota; Viridiplantae; Streptophyta; Magnoliopsida; Poales; Poaceae.
AUGGUCUACAUAGCCCUCCUCGGCAUCGGCAAGGGCGUGUGCAGCGCGUCGCCGCGGCAGCCACGAGACUGUCCUGAUAAGUGUGGGGACGUAACAGUCCCCUACCCAUUCGGCAUCGGCUCCGAAUGUUCGCUGCCCAACUUCCACCUCAACUGCAGCGAGGGGAUACUGCUCACAGUCACAGGCAACGUCCGGAUCGACAACAUCACGCUGGAGACGGCGCAGAUGGUCGCCUAUACCCAGUUAACAUACGUCUGCGACAUGGCAGAGGAGAGUACACAGCGCAUGUCCGUCAACUUGGCAGGUAGCCCAUUCCUGCUGUCGCCGGUGGCCAACGUCUUCACAGCAGUCGGCUGCAGCCAAGGUUUUGGUUACCGAAUGAGCUCGGUGGCGAGGAUCAGUGGCAGCAGUACUGGCGGUCGGUACCUUGCUGGGUGCAUCACAACCUGCGCCAGCGUGAACCAAUCCGCGGAAGACGGCGCGCCGUGCAGUGGCCAAGGCUGCUGCGAGGCCUCGCUUCCGACCGGCCUCAACUAUGUUUCUGUGUUCUGGAACAAGAACAACAGUCCGGACAAGCCGUCCAACAGAUGUGAGUAUGCCUUCGUGGCCCAGAAAGGCAGGUACAAUUUUAGCCGAGCAGACCUCGUUGGGGAGACUUUAGCCCAAAAAUAUGGCAAUACAAAGGUCUUCCCACUUGUUCUUGAUUGGGCUAUUGGUAGGAACGAGAAAGUGACAUGUCCACCGCCACUGAAGGAUGGCGACAAUGAAAAGUUGUACUUCCCCUAUGGAGUAUGCAUUAGCACUCACAGCCAUUGUGUUAAUGCAAGUAAUGUCACACCAGGCUAUUUCUGCAGAUGUAACAAGGGAUAUGCCGGAAAUCCUUACAAAGAAAACGGUUGCACAGAUAUCAAUGAGUGUGAUUUGACAAAGUACAAAGACGUCUAUCGUUGCCAUGGUGGGACAUGCCAUGAUUCAGAAGGUAACUAUGAAUGCAAUUGCAAUUUUGGACGAAGAGGUGACGGUAAAAGCGACAAAGGCUGUGAACCUGUAUUAUCCCCGGCUGCAAUUGCAGUGAUAGGAACAAUUAGUGCCAUGUCCAUAUCAGCAGUACUCCUGAUAUUCUUUCACAUGGAGCAUGAGAAAAGGAAGCUUAGGGAUCAUUUCAACAAGAAUGGUGGAAAAUUACUAAAAAGCAUCAAAAUCAAGAUUUUCAGAAAGGAGGAUCUAGACAAAAUAACCAAGAACUAUAGUACUAUAAUAGGCAAAGGUGCUUUCGGUGAGGUCUACAAGGGAACUACGUGUGAAUACAUACAAGUUGCUGUCAAACGCUCCAUUGCAAUCAACAAGGACCGCCAAAAGGAUUUUGCUAAUGAGAUACAAAUUCAGUCGCAAAUAAGUCAUAAGUAUGUGGUCCAACUGUUGGGGUGUUGCUUGGAAGCAGAAGUUCCUAUGUUGGUCUACGAGUUCGUGCCAAGGGGUAGCCUCUAUGACGUUCUUCAUGGCAAGAAUGGCAAUAUGCGAAGAGAACCUAUCUCCCUACGAGCACGCCUCGACAUUGCCAUUUGCUCUGCUGAUGCCCUUGCAUACAUGCAUUCGCAGGCGAGCCAGAAGAUCCUACAUGGAGAUGUCAAAUCCGGAAACAUCCUCCUUGAUGAUGAGUUCAUGCCUAAGGUGUCGGACUUCGGUACGUCGAGGCUUAUGUCCAUUGAAAAGGACCACACCAAUUGGGUGAUCGGGGACAGUAGCUACAUUGACCCCGUGCAUAUGAAGACUGGACUCCUCACAGAGAAAAGCGAUGUGUACAGCUUCGGGAUCGUGCUACUGGAGCUCAUUACCCGGAAGAAGGCAAGGUAUGAUAGGAACAACAGUCUUCCACUAAACUAUAUCAAGGCUUUUACGGAAGGGGCUACAGGGCAGAUGUAUGAUAUCGAGAUUCUGUCCAGCGGGGAGGAUGUAAAGUGCCUCGGCGAGGUUGGACUGAUUGCGAUGCAAUGCCUCGAAGUUGAUGUGGAUGACAGACCGACGAUGACCGAAGUCGCAGAGAAGAUUAAAAGGUGUAAGAGUCGGUGGCUGCAAAGCCAUUGGCAUGGGAAGACCAAAGCAUUGUGA